GACGAACGCUGGCGGCGUGCCUAAUACAUGCAAGUAGAACGCACAGUUUAUACCGUAGCUUGCUACACCAUAGACUGUGAGUUGCGAACGGGUGAGUAACGCGUAGGUAACCUGCCUGGUAGCGGGGGAUAACUAUUGGAAACGAUAGCUAAUACCGCAUAAUAUUGAUUAUUGCAUGAUAAUUGAUUGAAAGAUGCUAUUGCAUCACUACCAGAUGGACCUGCGUUGUAUUAGCUAGUAGGUGAGGUAACGGCUCACCUAGGCGACGAUACAUAGCCGACCUGAGAGGGUGAUCGGCCACACUGGGACUGAGACACGGCCCAGACUCCUACGGGAGGCAGCAGUAGGGCAUCUUCGGCAAUGGACGAAAGUCUGACCGAGCAACGCCGCGUGAGUGAAGAAGGUUUUCGGAUCGUAAAGCUCUGUUGUAAGAGAAGAACGGGUGUGAGAGUGGAAAGUUCACACUGUGACGGUAUCUUACCAGAAAGGGACGGCUAACUACGUG
This 505-nucleotide ribosomal RNA is filed under the name uncultured bacterium. Its description in RNAcentral is "partial 16S ribosomal RNA". It matches the Rfam family "Bacterial small subunit ribosomal RNA", at positions 28 to 507 of the family's 1533-position model. The record is from RNAcentral.